GCGCUAAUUUUCUGAGAGAUUUACAUCAGACGAAGCCCGGUGUUGUUUCAAGCCGUUUCUUCUCGCUUCAGCGGCCUUUAGUCAGCGCGCGGUCACAGCGUCCAGAGAUAUUUAUAUCAGAAGAAAGUUUAGAUAGCAAAUGUUGCCGUUCUUUUGGAAAACUGCUGGUCUUUAAAGAACAGUCAUUAAUCAGGAUCCUCUGUUCCCAGACCCAACCAUUCAUCUGAAGGACUGUGAAAAUAUGAACCCUUUGAACCACCGGUGACAGUUUCCACAUGAUAAAUAGAAAGGACAUGGCAGAGGAUGAUAGGGGUGUUGAUAUUUCACUGAAAUUAAACAUCAUUUAAUUACAUUUAGUCUGCUAGUCAGAAUUAUAGCUGAUUAAAUAAAAAUAAAUAGUGGUUCAUGUUUGUUUUGGGAUAGUGGUUCAUGAGUGCUUUGUCCUGAACAGUUUAAAUGGCCGCUUUUCUUCAGAAAAAUCCUCCAGAUCCUUCACUUUCUCAGGUUUUCCAGCAUCUUUUGCAUAUUUGAACUCUUUCCAGCAAUGAAUGUAUGAUUUCAGAUCCAUUUUUUACACUGAGGACAAUUGAGGGACUCAUACACAACUAUUUCAAAAGGUAAACGCAUUUAUUGAUUUUCAAGAAAUUCAUUUUUUCUGAAAAUCAGUGUUAAAAAGUAUGUAGCUUCAGAAGGGCAGUACUAAAUUAACAGAUAUGAUCUUUAAACAAAACAAGAAAAAUUUACUUAUCAUCCUGUUCAAAAUGUACACCCCCCAACUCUUAAUACAUUGUGUUUCCUUCUGGAGCAUCAGUGAACAAUGUUUUCACCUUUCAUAAUAGUUGGGUAUGAGUCCUUCAUUUUUCCUCAGAGUGAAGAGAAAAUGAUUAGUCAUUGUCGGACAAGGGCCAAAUAUGCAGAAGAUGCUAGAAAACCAAAGAAUUUGUGGGACUUGGAGGACUUUUCUGAAGAACAGCAGGCAGUUGAAUUGCUCUGGACUCAUGAAAAACUAUCCCAAAACAUAAAAAUAUUUGGGUCAUCCAGUAUAUGUAAACUUCUG
Cyprinus carpio carpio is the source of this 1057-nucleotide long non-coding RNA. NCBI's taxonomy places the organism in Eukaryota, Metazoa, Chordata, Actinopteri, Cypriniformes, Cyprinidae. The record is from Ensembl.